CAAUAGCGUAUAUUAAAGUUGUUGCGGUUAAAAAGCUCGUAGUUGGAUCUCGGCAGGCAGGGGGUGGUUCGCUCUUAGCGCUACUGCCCCAUUUGCCUGUGUGAUUGGCGGAGGUUUCGGGGUGCUCUUCGUUGAGUGACCCGGGGCGCCGUCAGGUUUACUUUGAAAAAAUUAGAGUGCUCAAAGCAGGCUUUUCACGCUUGAAUAUUCGUGCAUGGAAUAAUGGAAUAGGAACUCGUUUCUAUUUUGUUGGUUUUCGGAAAUCGAGUUAAUGAUUAAUAGGGACAAUUGGGGGCAUUAGUAUUCAGACGACAGAGGUGAAAUUCUUGGACCGUCCGAAGACUAACUACUGCGAAAGCAUUUGCCAAGAGUGUUUUCAUUAA
This 383-nucleotide ribosomal RNA is filed under the name uncultured eukaryote. RNAcentral describes it as "partial 18S ribosomal RNA". It matches the Rfam family "Eukaryotic small subunit ribosomal RNA", at positions 592 to 976 of the family's 1831-position model. The record is from RNAcentral.